GAUGAACGCUGGCGGCGUGCCUAAUACAUGCAAGUAGAACGCUGAAGCUUGGUGCUUGCACCGAGCGGAAGAGUUGCGAACGGGUGAGUAACGCGUAGGUAACCUGCCUCUUAGCGGGGGAUAACUAUUGGAAACGAUAGCUAAUACCGCAUAAAAGACGAUAUCGCAUGAUAUUGAUUUGAAAGGUGCAAUUGCAUCACUAAGAGAUGGACCUGCGUUGUAUUAGCUAGUUGGUGGGGUAACGGCUCACCAAGGCAACGAUACAUAGCCGACCUGAGAGGGUGAUCGGCCACACUGGGACUGAGACACGGCCCAGACUCCUACGGGAGGCAGCAGUAGGGAAUCUUCGGCAAUGGACGGAAGUCUGACCGAGCAACGCCGCGUGAGUGAAGAAGGUUUUCGGAUCGUAAAGCUCUGUUGUAAGAGAAGAACGAGUGUGAGAGUGGAAAGUUCACACUGUGACGGUAUCUUACCAGAAAGGGACGGCUAACUACGUGCCAGCAGCCGCGGUAAUACGUAGGUCCCGAGCGUUGUCCGGAUUUAUUGGGCGUAAAGCGAGCGCAGGCGGUUAGAUAAGUCUGAAGUUAAAGGCUGUGGCUUAACCAUAGUACGCUUUGGAAACUGUUUAACUUGAGUGCAAGAGGGGAGAGUGGAAUUCCAUGUGUAGCGGUGAAAUGCGUAGAUAUAUGGAGGAACACCGGUGGCGAAAGCGGCUCUCUGGCUUGUAACUGACGCUGAGGCUCGAAAGCGUGGGGAGCAAACAGG
Molecule: ribosomal RNA, 765 nt
Filed under: uncultured Streptococcus sp.
Lineage: Bacteria; Bacillati; Bacillota; Bacilli; Lactobacillales; Streptococcaceae
Description: bacterial SSU rRNA
Rfam family: Bacterial small subunit ribosomal RNA
Source: RNAcentral